Molecule: ribosomal RNA, 279 nt
Filed under: uncultured bacterium
Lineage: Bacteria
Description: partial 16S ribosomal RNA
Rfam family: Bacterial small subunit ribosomal RNA
Source: RNAcentral
UGCCAGCAGCCGCGGUAAUACAGAGGGUGCGAGCGUUAAUCGGAAUUACUGGGCGUAAAGAGCUCGUAGGUGGAUAAAUAAGUCAGAUGUGAAAUGCCUGGGCUCAACCUGGGAACUGCAUUUGAAACUGUUUAUCUAGAGUACAGUAGAGGGUAUAGGAAUUCCUGGUGUAGCGGUGAAAUGCGUAGAUAUCAGGAGGAACAUCAGUGGCGAAGGCGAAUACCUGGACUGAUACUGACACUGAGGAGCGAAAGCGUGGGUAGCGAACAGGAUUAGAUA